CCUUGUCAUUCACUCUCACUGUGGGAAGGACUAGAUUCUCACUUCAGAUAUGAAUGCAGACAGCAGGGGAGGUGACCGGUCUACCCAGAGAGUCUGGCAGAAGGUGGAGGGGAGAAAGAAGCAGGGUUGCUGAUCUCAGAACAAGUCUGAAGAGAGUGUGGACAUGGCUUUCUAGAUGUUUCCUGUGAUGUGUCCGAACUCCCUAGUUCCUGCUACCACUGAGGCAGACAGGUCUGAGGCCAGCGUUGACGGAGGGCAGACUUCAGCUCAGAGGAACUGGCAACCUGCCCCAAGUUGCAUGUGGGGAUGCUGGACUUCCAGGGGGACGUGCAGAGGACAAAGAAGCUAUCAGAUCCACCCCACCCCAGCACUCACACCUUCAGCACAGGGCAACAGCCACACUGGGCAUCUCUGCCUUUGAGUGGCGCCUAGAGGUCUUCCAAGGAGCAACCGUGAGUGAGCGCGGAGUCUGCCUUCUGCCUGCAGCACGGUCCUCCACCCUAGAGCCCUCUUGCGUGGGACGCUGUCGGGAGCAGCUCCGGCCACGUGCCCUGCAAAGAACCGGACGGCAGCGUGGCCUGGUGUCUCCUGACUCUGCUGUUUGGCACUUGAGGGACUGGGGCCAGGUGAGGGUGACCUGGUGGGAAGGAAGGCUGCAGUACAGGCCUCAGUGCAGGCUGUCACCACCCCCCUGUGCUGCCCCGUGUCCCAGCUCCGUCCCUUCCUUUAGCUCUGGGCUCCAAAAUUCCAAAACACAUCCAGUUCGAAGAGGAGACCAGCACCCGCUGCCUGCCUGAUGCUCUCCCCGCUGCAGCCGUAGUGGAAAGUGCCGCCAUCAGCACUUCUCCCAAUUACAGUGACCCUGUUGUGUUAAUUAAUUAAACCUCCUUGUCGCCUCGAGAGGAGGCCACGGUGUGAUUCCUGCUGAGUGCUGAGGGCGGAGGGGCAGGGGGUGCAAGCUCCAGCCCACUCACUCAAAAGAAAAGUGCGGGGCCCCGAGAAAGGGAUGUAGGAACCUCCCUUCUCCUCAGCCCAGGCUGCCACCACACCCCUACAUAAAGCCCCUGAG
Molecule: long non-coding RNA, 1069 nt
Filed under: Chinchilla lanigera (long-tailed chinchilla)
Lineage: Eukaryota; Metazoa; Chordata; Mammalia; Rodentia; Chinchillidae
Description: lncRNA (ENSCLAG00000022481.1)
Source: RNAcentral